Molecule: ribosomal RNA, 1005 nt
Filed under: uncultured bacterium
Lineage: Bacteria
Description: bacterial SSU rRNA
Rfam family: Bacterial small subunit ribosomal RNA
Source: RNAcentral
AGAGUUUGAUCCUGGCUCAGGACGAACGCUGGCGGCGUGCUUAACACAUGCAAGUCGAACGAGAUCCAUCCAGUGGAAACACCGGAGAAGAUCUAGUGGCGAACGGGUGAGUAACACGUGAGCAACCUGCCCCGAAGACCGGGAUAACAGCGGGAAACUGCUGCUAAUACCGGAUGUCCCCAUCGGACCGCAUGGCCUGAUGAGGAAAUGGAUUCCGCUUCGGGAGGGGCUCGCGGCCUAUCAGCUUGUUGGUGGGGUGACGGCCCACCAAGGCGACGACGGGUAGCUGGUCUGAGAGGACGAUCAGCCACACUGGGACUGAGACACGGCCCAGACUCCUACGGGAGGCAGCAGUGGGGAAUCUUGCGCAAUGGGCGAAAGCCUGACGCAGCAACGCCGCGUGAGGGAUGAAGGCCUUCGGGUUGUAAACCUCUUUCAAGCAGGGACGAUGAUGACGGUACCUGCAGAAGAAGCUCCGGCCAACUACGUGCCAGCAGCCGCGGUAAUACGUAGGGAGCGAGCGUUGUCCGGAUUCAUUGGGCGUAAAGAGCUCGUAGGCGGCUUGAUAAGUCGGAUGUGAAACCUCCAGGCUCAACCUGGAGUCGCCAUCCGAUACUGUCAUGGCUAGAGUCCGGUAGGGGCCCACGGAACUCCUGGUGUAGCGGUGAAAUGCGCAGAUAUCAGGAAGAACACCGGUGGCGAAGGCGGUGGGCUGGGCCGGCACUGACGCUGAGGAGCGAAAGCGUGGGGAGCGAACAGGAUUAGAUACCCUGGUAGUCCACGCCGUAAACGUUGGGCACUAGGUGUGGGACCUUAUCAACGGGUUCCGUGCCGUAGCUAACGCAUUAAGUGCCCCGCCUGGGGAGUACGGCCGCAAGGCUAAAACUCAAAGGACUUGACGGGGGCCCGCACAAGCGGCGGAGCAUGUGGCUUAUUCGAGGCAACGCGAAGAACCUUACCUGGGUUGAACUACGCAGGAAAAGCCGUAGAGAUACGUGUCCGCAA